UGCAAACUGCGAAUACCGGAGAAUGUUAUCACGGGAGACACACGGCGGGUGCUAACGUCCGUCGUGAAGAGGGAAACAACCCAGACCGCCAGCUAAGGUCCCAAAGUCAUGGUUAAGUGGGAAACGAUGUGGGAAGGCCCAGACAGCCAGGAUGUUGGCUUAGAAGCAGCCAUCAUUUAAAGAAAGCGUAAUAGCUCACUGGUCGAGUCGGCCUGCGCGGAAGAUGUAACGGGGCUAAACCAUGCACCGAAGCUGCGGCAGCGACGCUGAUGCGUUGUUGGGUAGGGGAGCGUUCUGUAAGCCUGCGAAGGUGUGCUGUGAGGCAUGCUGGAGGUAUCAGAAGUGCGAAUGCUGACAUAAGUAACGAUAAAGCGGGUGAAAAGCCCGCUCGCCGGAAGACCAAGGGUUCCUGUCCAACGUUAAUCGGGGCAGGGUGAGUCGACCCCUAAGGCGAGGCCGAAAGGCGUAGUCGAUGGGAAACAGGUUAAUAUUCCUGUACUUGGUGUUACUGCGAAGGGGGGACGGAGAAGGCUAUGUUGGCCGGGCGACGGUUGUCCCGGUUUAAGCGUGUAGGCUGGUUUUCCAGGCAAAUCCGGA
Molecule: ribosomal RNA, 597 nt
Filed under: Escherichia coli
Lineage: Bacteria; Pseudomonadati; Pseudomonadota; Gammaproteobacteria; Enterobacterales; Enterobacteriaceae
Description: bacterial LSU rRNA
Rfam family: Bacterial large subunit ribosomal RNA
Source: RNAcentral